AGCGCAGCUACCAUGCAGUCGAGCGGUAGCACAGAAAAUCUUGCUUCUUGACUGACGAGCGGCGGACGCGUGAGUAGUGCAUAGGAAGCUGCCCGAUGGUGGGGGAUACCCUGGGGAAACCCAGGCUAAUACCGCAUACGUCCUACGGCAUCUUAUUUCUCCGGCUCCCGCUAUGGAAUGAGCCUAUGUCGGACCUAUUAGUUGGUUGGUAAAGGCUCACCUUAGCAACAAUCCGAAACUGGUCUGACCUGAUGAUCAGACCCAUCGCACUGGAGACGCGACCCGAACUCCUAUCCUAGGCAACAGUGCAGAGUAUUGUAUUGUGGGCGGGAGCCUGAUCCGAUCAUGCCGUGCGUGGGGCGAGAGGACUGGCCUAGGAGUGCACUUUCGGCGAUAAAGAACGCCUAACGUCUCUUCCCGCUAGAAUUGACAUCACUCUAGAAGAAGCAUCGGCUAACUCCGUGCCAGCAGCCGCGGUAAUACGGAGGAUGCAAGCGUUAUCGGAAUCACUGGGCGUAAAGCGCGCGUAGGUGCACUGAUAAGCCGAUUGUGAAAGCUCCGGGCUCAACUGCGAACUGGCACCCUGAAUCUCUCAAAGAUAAGACUGCAUGAUGAGAGUAGUUAGAUGCCCUGUGUAAACAGUUGAAAUGCCUAGAGAUCGGAAGCAUAUAACAUCGAGUACUGACGGCUUCUUGAUGCAGUGUCACUGUUACAUGGAGUGACGAAAGUCAGGAUCAGAUAGACAAGCAGGAUACAUCCGCCAUAGUACCAUGCCGUAAUCGAUCUCGAAUCAGACGGAUUGGUCGCGCUAGCGCAUUGAGUGAGGAAGUUAGCAAGAGAAAUCGUCCUCCUGAGGACUACGGCGGCAAGCGUAAACAUCAAAGGAAUUGACGGGGAUCCGCGCAAGCGGUGGCGCACGUUGUAUAAUUCGAUGCAACGCGAAGAUCCUUGCGUACUCUUGACAUCCUGCGAAUUCGGUAGAGCUGAUUUAGUGCCUUCGGGAUCGCAGAGCCAGGUGCAGCAUGGCUCUCGUCAGUUCGUGUUGUGAAAUGUUGGGUUAAGUCCUGUAUCGAGCGCAGACCUCGUCCUUAUUGGCCAGCACGUAAUGGUGGGAAUUCUAAGGAGUCUGCCGGUGACAAACCGGAGGAAGGUGGGGACGACGUCAAGUCAUCAUGCACCUUACGAGUAGGGUUACACACGUGCUACAAUGGCCGGUACAAAGGGCUGACAACUCGCGAGAGUGAGGUAAUCCCGAAAAGUCGGUCUCAGUCCGGAUUGGAGUCUCCAUCUGGAAUUCGUGAAGUCGGAAUCGGUAGUAAUCGUGAUUCAGAAUGUCACGGUGAAUACGUUAUCGGGCCUUGUACACACCGCCCGUCACACCAUGGGACUGGGAAGCACCAGAAGUGGUUAGCCUAACGCAAGAGAGUCACCACGAGGUCAGGGGAC
RNAcentral lists this ribosomal RNA (1446 nucleotides) under gamma proteobacterium CPKS1. RNAcentral describes it as "16S ribosomal RNA". It matches the Rfam family "Bacterial small subunit ribosomal RNA". The record is from RNAcentral. Lineage: Bacteria; Pseudomonadati; Pseudomonadota; Gammaproteobacteria.